Molecule: unclassified non-coding RNA, 305 nt
Filed under: uncultured fungus
Lineage: Eukaryota; Fungi
Description: partial contains 18S rRNA, ITS1, 5.8S rRNA, ITS2 and 28S rRNA
Source: RNAcentral
AAGGAUUAUUAGCACGUGUUCCAACACGCAAACGCUAACCGUGAACUGUUUUUCGUUUCGUGGCUAUGGAUAGAAAAACAAGUAGAGAGACGGUAAGGAGAGAAAAGAGAUGCCGCCGCACCUUCUCUCUUCUACUUGUUGUUCUUCUUGCAAAAGAAGAGUAUCCAUGGUUGCUUACGUUACCGUGUUAUUCACUUUUAAACCCUUUGUACAAUUCUUUUGUACUUGAAAAUAUUUCGAUCAUACCUAACUUAUCAGUUUAUACAAACACUGUACAACUGUUAACAACGGAUAUCUAGGUUCUC